AAUGAAUGCUGGCGGCGUGCCUAACACAUGCAAGUCGAGCGGCAGCGCGAGUAGUUUACUACUUGGCGGCGAGCGGCGGACGGCUGAGUAACGCGUGGGAACGUGCCCCAAAGUGAGGAAUAACUGCCCGAAAGGGUAGCUAAUGCCGCAUAUGGUCUUCGGAUUAAAGUAUUUAUACGCUUUGGGAGCGGCCCGCGUCGGAUUAGGUAGUUGGUAGGGUAAUGGCCUACCAAGCCGACGAUCCGUAGCUGGUCUGAGAGGAUGAUCAGCCAGACUGGAACUGAGACACGGUCCAGACUCCUACGGGAGGCAGCAGUGAGGAAUCUUCCACAAUGGGCGAAAGCCUGAUGGAGCAACGCCGCGUGCAGGAUGAAGGCCUUCGGGUUGUAAACUGCUUUUAUAAGUGAAGAAUAUGACGGUAACUUAUGAAUAAGCACCGGCUAACUACGUGCCAGCAGCCGCGGUCAUACGUAGGGUGCAAGCAUUAUUCGGAGUGACUGGGCGUAAAGAGUUGCGUAGGUGGUUUGUUAAGUAGAUAGUGAAAGCUAGCGGCUCAACCGUAUAGAUUAUUAUCUAAACUGGCAAACUCGAGAAUGGUAGAGGUAACUGGAAUUUCUUGUGUAGGAGUGAAAUCCGUAGAUAUAAGAAGGAACACCAAUGGCGUAGCAGGUUACUGGACCAUUUCUGACACUGAGGCACGAAAGCGUGGGGAGCGAACGGGAUUAGAUACCCCCGGUAGUCCACGCCGUAAACGAUGGAUACUAGCUGUUGGAGGUAUCGACCCCUCCAGUAGCGAAGGCUAACGCGUUAAGUAUCCCCGCCUGUGGAGUACGGUCGCAAGACUAAAACAUAAAGGAAUUGACGGGGACCCGGCACAAGCGGUGGAUUGUGUUCUUUAAUUCGAUGAUAAACGACGAACCUUACCAGGGCUUGACAUCCCUUAAAUUUUGCCGAAAGGCGAGAGUGCUUUAUUGAAUAAGGUGACAGGUGAUGCAUGGCCGUCGUCAGCUCGUGUCGUGAGAUGUUUGGUUAAGUCCAUCAACGAGCGCAACCCUUGUGAAUAGUUGUAUUUUUCUAUUCAGACUGCCCCGGCAACGGGGAGGAAGGAGGGGAUGAUGUCAGGUCAGUAUUUCCCUUACGUCCUGGGCUAGAAACGCAAUACAAUGGCCAGUACAAUGCGCAGCGAAGCCGCGAGGUGAAGCAAAUCGCAUCAAAGCUGGUCCCAGUUCGGAUAAGAGGCUGAAACUCGCCUCUUUGAAGUCGGAAUCGCUAGUAAUCGCAGAUCAGCAAGCUGCGGUGAAUACGUUCCCGGGUCUUGUACUCACCGC
Molecule: ribosomal RNA, 1328 nt
Filed under: uncultured bacterium
Lineage: Bacteria
Description: bacterial SSU rRNA
Rfam family: Bacterial small subunit ribosomal RNA
Source: RNAcentral